Molecule: ribosomal RNA, 339 nt
Filed under: uncultured bacterium
Lineage: Bacteria
Description: bacterial SSU rRNA
Rfam family: Bacterial small subunit ribosomal RNA
Source: RNAcentral
CCGCAAGGGCAACCGGCGAACGGGUGCGUAACACGUGAGCAACCUACCUCGAUGUGGGGGAUAGCCGGCCCAACGGCCGGGUAAUACCGCAUACGAUUCUUUGGGGGAGUCCCCAGGGAAGGAAACCUCCGGGGCAUUGAGAGGGGCUCGCGGCCUAUCAGCUAGUUGGCGAGGUAACGGCUCACCAAGGCGACGACGGGUAGCUGGUCUGAGAGGAUGGCCAGCCACAUUGGGACUGAGAGACGGCCCAGACUCCUACGGGAGGCAGCAGUGGGGAAUCUUGCGCAAUGGCCGAAAGGCUGACGCAGCGACGCCGCGUGUGGGAUGAAGCAUUUCGGU